RNAcentral lists this unclassified non-coding RNA (253 nucleotides) under uncultured Gammaproteobacteria bacterium. RNAcentral's name for it is "contains 16S-23S intergenic spacer region". It matches the Rfam family "Bacterial small subunit ribosomal RNA", at positions 524 to 776 of the family's 1533-position model. Lineage: Bacteria; Pseudomonadati; Pseudomonadota; Gammaproteobacteria. The record is from RNAcentral.
UACGUAGGGUGCGAGCGUUAAUCGGAAUUGCUGGGCGUAAAGCGUGCGCAGGCGGUCAUAUAAGACAGAUGUGAAAUCCCCGGGCUCAACCUGGGAGCUGCAUUUGUGACUGCAUAGCUGGAGUGCGGCAGAGGGGGAUGGAAUUCCGCGUGUAGCAGUGAAAUGCGUAGAAAUGCGGAGGAACACCGAUGGCGAAGGCAAUCCCCUGGGCCUGCACUGACGCUCAUGCACGAAAGCGUGGGGAGCAAACAGG